GAACGAACGCUGGCGGCAGGCUUAACACAUGCAAGUCGAACGCGUGUAGCAAUACACGAGUGGCGCACGGGUGAGUAACGCGUGGGAACGCGCCCUUUAGUUUGGAAUAACACCGGGAAACUGGUGCUAAUGCCAAAUACGCCCUUCGGGGGAAAGAUUUAUCGCUAAAGGAUCGGCCCGCGUCAGAUUAGCUAGUUGGUGGGGUAAUGGCCUACCAAGGCUCCGAUCUGUAGCUGUUCUGAGAGGAAGACCAGCCACACUGGAACUGAGACACGGUCCAGACUCCUACGGGAGGCAGCAGUGGGGAAUAUUGGACAAUGGGGGAAACCCUGAUCCAGCCAUGCCGCGUGAGUGAUGAAGGCCUUAGGGUUGUAAAGCUCUUUUACCAGGGAAGAUGAUGACGGUACCUGGAGAAUAAGCACCGGCUAACUUCGUGCCAGCAGCCGCGGUAAUACGAAGGGUGCUAGCGUUGUUCGGAAUCACUGGGCGUAAAGCGUGCGUAGGCGGCUUUGCAAGUCAGGGGUGAAAUCCCACAGCUCAACUGUGGAAUUGCCUUUGAAACUGCAUCGCUGGAGUGUCGGAGGGGAUAGCGGAAUUCCUAAUGUAGUGGUGAAAUACGUAGAUAUUAGGAGGAACACCGGUGGCGAAGGCGGCUAUCUGGACGACAACUGACGCUGAGGCACGAAAGCGUGGGGAUCAAACAGGAUUAGAUACCCUGGUAGUCCACGCUGUAAACGAUGGAUGCUAGCCGUCGGGAGGUUACCUCUCGGUGGCGCAGCUAACGCGCUAAGCAUCCCGCCUGGGGAGUACGGUCGCAAGAUUAAAACUCAAAGGAAUUGACGGGGACCCGCACAAGCGGUGGAACAUGUGGUUUAAUUCGAGGCAACGCGAAGAACCUUACCAGGCUUUGACAUGCCCUCUGUGGUUUCCAGAAAUGGAUUCCUUCACCUCGGGUGGGAGGAGCACAGGUGCUGCAUGGCUGUCGUCAGCUCGUGUCGUGAGAUGUUGGGUUAAGUCCCGCAACGAGCGCAACCCUUGCCAUUAGUUGCUACAUUCAGUUGGGCACUCUAAUGGGACUGCCGGUGACAAACCGGAGGAAGGUGGGGAUGACGUCAAGUCCUCAUGGCCCUUAUGGGUAGGGCUUCACACGUAAUACAAUGGCCGGUACAGAGGGCUGCCAACCCGCGAGGGGGAGCAAAUCCCAGAAAGCCGGUCGUAGUCCGGAUUGUUCUCUGCAACUCGAGAGCAUGAAGUCGGAAUCGCUAGUAAUCGCGGAUCAGCAACGCCGCGGUGAAUACGU
RNAcentral lists this ribosomal RNA (1300 nucleotides) under uncultured bacterium. RNAcentral describes it as "bacterial SSU rRNA". It matches the Rfam family "Bacterial small subunit ribosomal RNA", at positions 27 to 1371 of the family's 1533-position model. The record is from RNAcentral.